AGAGUUUGAUCAUGGCUCAGAACGAACGCUGGCGGCGUGGAUAAGACAUGCAAGUCGAGCGCUGAUUUCACUGUAGCAAUACAGUGGAGUUGGAGCGGCGCAAGGGUGCGUAACACGUGGGUAAUUUGCCGUGAAGUUGGGGAUAACUCGCUGAAAGGCGAGCUAAUACCGAAUGUGAAGUUUGGGUGGCAUCACCUGACCUUUAAAGCUGGGGAUCGUAAGACCUGGCGCUUUAUGAUAAGCCCGCGGCCUAUCAGCUAGUUGGUGAGGUAACGGCUCACCAAGGCUAAGACGGGUAGCUGGUCUGAGAGGACGACCAGCCACACUGGAACUGAGACACGGUCCAGACACCUACGGGUGGCAGCAGUCGAGAAUUUUUCUCAAUGGGCGCAAGCCUGAAGGAGCGACGCCGCGUGGGGGAUGAAGGGUUUCGAUCCGUAAACCCCUGUCAUUUGUGAACAAUGGUUAUUAUUUAAAAGAUGAUGACUUGAUAGUAAUGAAAGAGGAAGGGACGGCUAACUCUGUGCCAGCAGCCGCGGUAAUACAGAGGUCCCGAGCGUUGUUCGGAUUCACUGGGCGUAAAGGGUGCGUAGGUGGCUUGAAAAGUUUGAUGUGAAAGCUCAGGGCUUAACCCUGAAAUGGCAUUGAAUACUGUCGAGCUGGAGGUUUGGAGGGGGGACUGGAAUUCUUGGUGUAGCAGUGAAAUGCGUAGAUAUCAAGAGGAACACCAGUGGCGAAGGCGAGUCCCUGGACAACACCUGACACUGAGGCACGAAAGCUAGGGGAGCAAACAGGAUUAGAUACCCUAGUAGUCC
This 815-nucleotide ribosomal RNA is filed under the name uncultured bacterium. RNAcentral's name for it is "bacterial SSU rRNA". It matches the Rfam family "Bacterial small subunit ribosomal RNA", at positions 8 to 796 of the family's 1533-position model. The record is from RNAcentral.